GAGAACGACCUCUAUUCAUUAGUAGUACUUGAUUCCUGUCCCUGUGACGACGCGCGCUCAUUUGCUAAAUAUUGUGUAUUUUAUUUUUGAAUUAAUUUAAACACCGGCGUGAUCACGAUCCCUUACAGAUGCCUUUUAAAAUUGUGCAAACGACCGAAAGGGGAUCAACUAAACUGUUUAUUGUUCCAAGCGGGUGGGAAAGUCAGCGUCAACUGCGAUAUCCAAAAAGACCUAAUGAGUCUGCAUUAGUAAGGAAUGAAAAUUCCAAGCCUCGCGCAGAUUGGUCAGUGUUGCCUUGUAAAGUCAAACGGACGGGUUUUUUAACCUAUGAAGAUGCUGACGAGGAAUUGUCAAUUAUGAUGCAGCAUAGCGACACAGAUACCGGCCCCACUAUUUAUGAAGCCUAAAGAGAAACCCAGCUCGCAAUGUCAGGAUUACCAGAUUUCAAUAACUUGGCCGACCAACUAGUAACACUUCUGCAAAAUAAUUUUCAUUUUCAAAUCUUGAAUGUACUACGGAACCACUUGCUUGAACUUCUUGAACGGUGCUUGGCUCAUACACAACUACCGAUUGUUCUGUAUUUUGUGUAUCAAGAGUAUCAUUGUUUGGAACACGUUUUUCAUUACUUAAACCAAAUAUAAAAUUUGAGUAUUCCA
Molecule: long non-coding RNA, 656 nt
Organism: Pieris napi
Lineage: Eukaryota; Metazoa; Arthropoda; Insecta; Lepidoptera; Pieridae
Exons: 2
Source: RefSeq, a predicted model, not a curated record